Molecule: long non-coding RNA, 1417 nt
Filed under: Anas platyrhynchos platyrhynchos (common mallard)
Lineage: Eukaryota; Metazoa; Chordata; Aves; Anseriformes; Anatidae
Description: lncRNA (ENSAPLG00000019285.1)
Source: RNAcentral
GGAAUAAGGUUUGUUCAGCAUGAAGAAGAUGAGACCUUGGGGGAAAUCUUAGCAAAACUGGAAGGGCAGUUAGAAAGAAGACAGCACUGGAUGUUACUCAACAGCUGACAUUGAAGUUGGCCCUGUUCUGAUCAGGGAGCUAGGCUGGAGCACUCCAGAGGCUCCUUCCAACUUGAAUUAUUCUAUGAGUCUCUGAAAAACAAGGAUAACGGGUCAUAAUUUUAGGUGGGGAAUAGAUGAAUAGAGAAAAAAAUGAGCAACAGAGUCCAUUGGUGGGUCCUGCCUCCUGCACUGGAGCUGAAGAAGGGAUUUGGCAGCAUAAGUGUCCAGAGAGAUGGUACAAGUGCUUGGUGAUGUCAGAAGCAAGUGGAGCUGGUCAGAACAUGCAGAUCUGAAUUCACAUCAUAUUUGCUUUAAUAUGUAUAUAUAUAUAUAGCUCGAGAUUAAAAUUAAAGGUUUCAAAAUUUUUAAUGAAAAUUCUGAAAAAUGUAGAGCUGGGAAUUGUUUGUUUCAUAAGGCCAGAGCUUCAGUUUGAAUUCAGUUCUUUCUGUUGCAGUAAACACAUUCUGGUACAGCAACAAAUCAUUGCAAAGUUCAGUUCAGUUUUAUUAUCUUUGUUCUGGAGAAGAUGAGGAAAUGUUUAAAUCAGCCAUUGCUAAAUAAUAUCCGCCUCAGUUUUACUAAAGUAAAACAUAUCAAAAGUAAAUGUUUUAGGCUGUUGAAACUAAUAAAUAUUUUCAUGUUUUGGCACAUCAAGUAGUGCUGGAGCACAGGAAGAAAAUAAGACAAAAUAAUGUAAUUAACUUCUUGAAAUUCCAGAAGACAACUAUGAGACGGCAGACAAGCUAUAGCAUUGCUGAACUGGACCCAUCACCCCUAAAUCAAGCUCCUUUCCUGCUUGGGAGCAAUGCUGCCCAGCGAGAUGAAGAGCCAGAAAGCCUCCUGCUUCCUCGCACAGCUCAUGAGGAAGCUUUCUAGUGGCUACAACAGAGGUUUAAUGACAUCACAUGUUUGUGUGCUGCAGAACGUGUCACUUCAUUUGGUUUGCAUCACGCACUUCCUACCCGCCUUCAGCAGACCUCUGGCCUCACCCACACGAGGUAUCUUCAGAUGUCUCCUCACAGAGUACCUGAGUGCCACAGAGUUAAAAAAAACCCUUUUUGUCAGCAUCUCAUGGACUAAAUGUUGCUUUUUUUUUUUUUUUUUUUUUUUUUUUCUUACUACCUCUUAUUUCACAAUUUGCCUGUUGGGAUUUUGGUCUUGUGCAAGAGUUGUUAUGGGAAUAAAGUCUUAUCUCAAAGAAAGAUCUUGCUUUAUUUGGAUCAAAUAGAAAGAGUUGAUCUCCCUAAACUUCCCUCCCCCAUCCCUCCCCCCUCUCCCCCAAUAAAUAAAUAAAUAAAUGAAUAAAUAAAUAUCA